AACGAACGCUGGCGGCAUGCCUAACACAUGCAAGUCGAACGAGACCUUCGGGUCUAGUGGCGCACGGGUGCGUAACGCGUGGGAACCUGCCCUUAGGUUCGGAAUAACUCCCCGAAAGGGGUGCUAAUACCGGAUAAUGUCUUCGGACCAAAGAUUUAUCGCCUUUGGAUGGGCCCGCGUUGGAUUAGCUAGUUGGUAGGGUAAAAGCCUACCAAGGCGACGAUCCAUAGCUGGUCUGAGAGGAUGAUCAGCCACACUGGGACUGAGACACGGCCCAGACUCCUACGGGAGGCAGCAGUGGGGAAUAUUGGACAAUGGGCGAAAGCCUGAUGCAGCAAUGCCGCGUGAGUGAUGAAGGCCUUAGGGUUGUAAAGCUCUUUUACCAGGGAUGAUAAUGACAGUACCGGGAGAAUAAGCUCCGGCUAACUCCGUG
This 433-nucleotide ribosomal RNA is filed under the name uncultured bacterium. RNAcentral describes it as "partial 16S ribosomal RNA". It matches the Rfam family "Bacterial small subunit ribosomal RNA", at positions 29 to 507 of the family's 1533-position model. The record is from RNAcentral.